CAUGCAAGUCGAGGGGCAGCAUGAUUUGUAGCAAUACAGAUUGAUGGCGACCGGCGCACGGGUGAGUAACGCGUAUGCAACUUACCUAUCAGAGGGGGAUAGCCCGGCGAAAGUCGGAUUAAUACCCCAUAAAACAGGGGUCCCGCAUGGGAAUAUUUGUUAAAGAUUCAUCGCUGAUAGAUAGGCAUGCGUUCCAUUAGGCAGUUGGCGGGGUAACGGCCCACCAAACCGACGAUGGAUAGGGGUUCUGAGAGGAAGGUCCCCCGCAUUGGUACUGAGACACGGACCAAACUCCUACGGGAGGCAGCAGUGAGGAAUAUUGGUCAAUGGCCGAGAGGCUGAACCAGCCAAGUCGCGUGAAGGAAGAAGGAUCUAUGGUUUGUAAACUUCUUUUAUAGGGGAAUAAAGUGGAGGACGUGUCCUUUUUUGUAUGUACCCUAUGAAUAAGCAUCGGCUAACUCCGUGCCAGCAGCCGCGGUAAUACGGAGGAUGCGAGCGUUAUCCGGAUUUAUUGGGUUUAAAGGGUGCGUAGGUGGUGAUUUAAGUCAGCGGUGAAAGUUUGUGGCUCAACCAUAAAAUUGCCGUUGAAACUGGGUUACUUGAGUGUGUUUGAGGUAGGCGGAAUGCGUGGUGUAGCGGUGAAAUGCAUAGAUAUCACGCAGAACUCCGAUUGCGAAGGCAGCUUACUAAACCAUAACUGACACUGAAGCACGAAAGCGUGGGGAUCAAACAGGAUUAGAUACCCUGGUAGUCCACGCAGUAAACGAUGAUUACUAGGAGUUUGCGAUACAAUGUAAGCUCUACAGCGAAAGCGUUAAGUAAUCCACCUGGGGAGUACGCCGGCAACGGUGAAACUCAAAGGAAUUGACGGGGG
RNAcentral lists this ribosomal RNA (874 nucleotides) under uncultured bacterium. Its description in RNAcentral is "bacterial SSU rRNA". It matches the Rfam family "Bacterial small subunit ribosomal RNA", at positions 54 to 919 of the family's 1533-position model. The record is from RNAcentral.